GACGUCAAGUCAUCAUGGCCCUUACGACCAGGGCUACACACGUGCUACAAUGGCGCAUACAAAGAGAAGCGACCUCGUGAGAGCAAGCGGACCUCAUAAAGUGCGUCGUAGUCCGGAUUGGAGUCUGCAACUCGACUCCAUGAAGUCGGAAUCGCUAGUAAUCGUGGAUCAGAAUGCCACGGUGAAUACGUUCCCGGGCCUUGUACACACCGCCCGUCACACCAUGGGAGUGGGUUGCAAAAGAAGUAGGUAGCUUAACCUUCGGGGGGGCGCUUACCACUUUGUGAUUCAUGACUGGGGUGAAGUCGUAACAAGGUAACCGUAGGGGAACCUGCGGUUGGAUCACCUCCUUACCUUAAAGAAGC
This 365-nucleotide ribosomal RNA is filed under the name Salmonella enterica subsp. enterica serovar Typhi. Its description in RNAcentral is "bacterial SSU rRNA". It matches the Rfam family "Bacterial small subunit ribosomal RNA", at positions 1181 to 1533 of the family's 1533-position model. Lineage: Bacteria; Pseudomonadati; Pseudomonadota; Gammaproteobacteria; Enterobacterales; Enterobacteriaceae. The record is from RNAcentral.